RNAcentral lists this ribosomal RNA (715 nucleotides) under Aporrectodea rosea. RNAcentral's name for it is "eukaryotic LSU rRNA". The stretch from base 407 to 715 matches the Rfam family "Eukaryotic large subunit ribosomal RNA", at positions 665 to 942 of the family's 3401-position model. Lineage: Eukaryota; Metazoa; Annelida; Clitellata; Crassiclitellata; Lumbricidae. The record is from RNAcentral.
GUNNNCGACGCGUGGUACGUGAACCGUCUAGAGGCCUUGGGGACGAAACGCGUGAGUACGGUGCAUCCCUCGUGGGAGCGCGCCGGCGUCCGUUCGUCGUGCGGCGGCCGUACUUUCGGCGGGCGGAGCGCCACGACCGGUUCGCCGGCGGCGAGAAACUCCCGGGCAAGGUGACCUUCGCCUCGGCGCAGGAGCAUACAGGCUCGGUGAGCGUCGGCCCGUCGGCGGACCGAGGAAGACCGUCGCGGAGCGGCGUCGACCGCCCGUCGUGUGGUCGCGUUCGACUCGGGGGGACUGGUUCCAGUGCCCUCGGACCGCGCGGCCGCAGCGGCGGGACGGCCCGGCGUCGCGCCUGGGGUCGGUGGCGAAACGGCCGGCAACCUGUCCGACCCGUCUUGAAACACGGACCAAGGAGUCUAACAUGUGCGCGAGUCGUUGGGCGCUACGAAACCCGAAGGCGCAAUGAAAGUGAAGGCCCGGUCUCCGGCCGGCCUGGGUGGGAUCCGGACGGUCUCGGCCGUCCGGCGCACCACCGGCCCGUCUCGUUCGCCGCGUCGAAUAGGCGGAGCAAGAGCGUACACGUUGGGACCCGAAAGAUGGUGAACUAUGCCCGAGUAGGACGAACCAGAGGAAACUCUGGUGGAGGUCCGCAGCGAUUCUGACGUGCAAAUCGAUCGUCAAACUUGGGUAUAGGGGCGAAAGACUAAUCGAACCA